ACCGGCAGCUAGCUCUCUGCAACUUACACAUGGUCGCCCACUAAAGCUAAGCAGGGCUGCGCCCGGUCAGUACCUGGAUGGGAGACCACAUGGGAAAGCUAGGUUGCUGCCGGAA
This 115-nucleotide ribosomal RNA is filed under the name Danio rerio (zebrafish). The record is from RNAcentral. Lineage: Eukaryota; Metazoa; Chordata; Actinopteri; Cypriniformes; Danionidae.